UAAAUCCGUGGGGGAGCGGGUCUUCGCCCGGUUGGCGUUCGGUUCGGCACGGCGGAAGAAGUCCAACAUCUACCGUUCCGGGCCGUUGGGGUUGACC
Molecule: transfer RNA, 97 nt
Filed under: Arthrobacter sp. NicSoilE8
Lineage: Bacteria; Bacillati; Actinomycetota; Actinomycetes; Micrococcales; Micrococcaceae
Description: tRNA-Ala
Source: RNAcentral